Cyprinus carpio (common carp) is the source of this 1290-nucleotide long non-coding RNA. The record is from Ensembl. NCBI's taxonomy places the organism in Eukaryota, Metazoa, Chordata, Actinopteri, Cypriniformes, Cyprinidae.
AGACGUCUUUCGGGAGUUCCUGGAAACGGAGUGGAGAAUGUUUUCCACUGCAGUGAGGAUACCUUUUCCUCCAGUGGUGUGGGUUUGACUUGGCAGCAGUUCAUCCAGCAACCAGUUUCUACAGCCUGGGAACAUCCUGCCUGCUUCACAGAGAAACCCAUCCCAGAUAAACAAUGGCAGUCCUGCAGAGGUCAUCACCACAGCCAGACAAGUGAGGUGUUGAGACGCUUCAGUCUUCUGUUCAUUUCCCUCAGGUGCUUAUCAACACAAUGGACCCCAAGCACAUACUGUUUGCAUCUCUCUCAUCAUCUCAUUCAUUCAUCUUUCUCUAAUCUCUCUUAUCCCUGCGGUGCUCAGGAAGAGAGGAAAGCCCACGGCCUUAUCUCUGUUUUUCUGUGUUUGUGGGGGACGAGACUGUUUCUCUAGUGUCUCUCUUCACUCUUCGUUUCAAAGUGUGUGCUCACAUCAGGCCCUCAUUUACUCUUCAAGAUUUCCACCGGUUGUGCAAUGUUUGAAUGUUCAGCCAUGGAAUGGUUAUUAUUCCUCUGUUCUUCAAAGCAUGCAGGCCUGUUGUUGAUGUAACUCCCUCCGGAACAAGGGCUGAGAGGACAGCAGGAGGAUGUUGUCAUUUUUGGAGGAGAUCAGGGGGGAAUAGCUUUUCAAGGAAAAGUGAGAUGGCGUCGGCAGCUGUGUGUCUGGCAGGGUGAAUGUUGGGACAUUUAAAAUACGUUUAGAAAUAGUUAAACAUCUGAACUUCCCUAUGAACUGAUAUAUCAUAUCUGCUGUGCAUAUGCAUGGGCACAAAUGCUUUAUUUAGACUUUCAAGGAAAAUGUGGAUGUGUUUAAAGACAUUGCACAGGGAGAGCUUAUUAUGGCUCAAAGUAACAGCGUCUUUUUCUGUACGGAAGGUUGUUUUGUUGUUUAGCACUUCUCUUUCCCUUCCUCACACAUACUAGAGUUUAACUGAAUGGAAUUAAAUAGUGGUGAACUGAAGUGAAUAUACCUGGACUGAACUACCAAACUGCUUUAAACUGAACCAAACUGACCUUAACUGAACUUAGUGAAGAUUAAUUAAACUAAACUUUUAAACUGAGUUGUGCUGAACUGUACCAAACUGAAUUAAACUUCUCAACUGAACUGAACUGUAUUGAACAGAAUUUGUCUGAACUGACUUGAAAUGUAUUGAACUGGACUAAACUGCUUAACUGAACAAAACUACUGAACUGAACUGAAUUAAAUCUAAAAUAUUAGACAGUAAUAAACAGAAAUGUAUUGAACUGAACUGAACCA